Molecule: ribosomal RNA, 460 nt
Filed under: uncultured bacterium
Lineage: Bacteria
Description: partial 16S ribosomal RNA
Rfam family: Bacterial small subunit ribosomal RNA
Source: RNAcentral
CCUACGGGAGGCAGCAGUGAGGAAUAUUGGUCAAUGGACGAGAGUCUGAACCAGCCAAGUAGCGUGAAGGAUGACUGCCCUAUGGGUUGUAAACUUCUUUUAUAAAGGAAUAAAACGAGGCACGUGUGCCUUUUUGCAUGUACUUUAUGAAUAAGGAUCGGCUAACUCCGUGCCAGCAGCCGCGGUAAUACGGAGGAUCCGAGCGUUAUCCGGAUUUAUUGGGUUUAAAGGGAGCGUAGAUGGGUUGUUAAGUCAGUUGUGAAAGUUUGCGGCUCAACCGUAAAAUUGCAAUUGAUACUGGCAGUCGUGAGUACAGUUGAGGGAGGCGGAAUUCGUGGUGUAGCGGUGAAAUGCUUAGAUAUCACGAAGAACCCCGAUUGCGAAGGCAGCUUACUAAACUGUGACUGACAUUGAUGCUCGAAAGUGUGGGUAUCAAACAGGAUUAGAUACCCGUGUAGUC